UGAGUGUAACAUGGACUCGAGAAUAGGGAGUGUAUCAUCUGGAUUGGGGUGCAGCCGUGGUAUGAGAGGACAGCCGUCAAAAAGCAGUCCUGCCAUUGAUGCCUCAGUACCUAAAAGCUUGAUACAUAGUGUAAAGUGUAAGUAUGAAAUAUUAAAUAAAUGAUAAUUUUAACUCCAAACAC
Molecule: long non-coding RNA, 182 nt
Organism: Larimichthys crocea (large yellow croaker)
Lineage: Eukaryota; Metazoa; Chordata; Actinopteri; Sciaenidae
Exons: 3
Source: RefSeq, a predicted model, not a curated record